CAGCCGCCACGGGAAUACGGAGGGAGCUAGCGUUGUUCGGAAUUACUGGGCGUAAAGCGCGCGUAGGCGGUUACUCAAGUCAGAGGUGAAAGCCCGGGGCUCAACCCCGGAACUGCCUUUGAAACUAGGUGACUAGAAUCUUGGAGAGGUCAGUGGAAUUCCGAGCGUAGAGGUGAAAUUCGUAGAUAUUCGGAGGAACACCAGUGGCGAAGGCGACUGACUGGACAAGUAUUGACGCUGAGGUGCGAAAGCGUGGGGAGCAAACAGGAUUAGAUACCCGCGUAGUCCCUGUCUCUUAUAA
Molecule: ribosomal RNA, 301 nt
Filed under: uncultured bacterium
Lineage: Bacteria
Description: partial 16S ribosomal RNA
Rfam family: Bacterial small subunit ribosomal RNA
Source: RNAcentral